UCCGCAUGCUGCUCGCAUUAAAACACUUUGACCCCUGAAAACAAAUGCACUUACCAACUUAGAUUCAAAUUCUACUUGCCUUAAAAAACAGGUAUUUAUGCUAGCCGACUAUAUAUACAAAAAGAGAGGGAAGAAAACAGAAGCUCCAAAUCACUCUUCGUUGGUAUGUCUCUCUAACAUUCCCUUGAUCAAAUAUUUGUCCUGCUGCCAGAAUCAUGAAAAUUAGAGACCCCUCCGAUGGAAUCCUGAAAAUUUGUGACCAGUACUCAGAAUCUACAUCUAUCAAGGAUGCAUAAAAUCACAAGUUACAAAUUAAGAUCCAAGAAUCCCUUGAUCAACCAUAUACUCAAUAUGAGAUGGAAAACAACCCCUUAACAGCAAAUCUCCAGUAUCAGUACCAUUUGCAAAGAACAAUGUUUCAUCAAAAAUAAAG
Molecule: unclassified non-coding RNA, 433 nt
Filed under: Hevea brasiliensis (rubber tree)
Lineage: Eukaryota; Viridiplantae; Streptophyta; Magnoliopsida; Malpighiales; Euphorbiaceae
Source: RNAcentral